GGGGAUUGUUGCUCUGUUUCCAUAUCUGGAAGACCCAUAUUCACAACAUGGAUAUGAACAUUACUAUGAUCCAGAGAGCGGUUCAGGAUACCUUGCGUGGCGGUUGAAGACCAUUCAAAGAAAAGCUGCAGAGGAAAGAAGUGUCUCAGUUUCCAAAUCUCCUAAAAUUGGCGGGCCAGGCCGUGGUCGAUCCAGACCACUCACCACUGAGACAGUGUUAUCAGAUGAGGAUGUAAAAGCAGCUAUUGC
This is a long non-coding RNA of Oreochromis aureus, 249 nucleotides long. RefSeq lists it as uncharacterized. NCBI's taxonomy places the organism in Eukaryota, Metazoa, Chordata, Actinopteri, Cichliformes, Cichlidae. The record is from RefSeq and is a predicted model, not a curated record. The transcript has 3 exons.